GGAAUCUUGCGCAAUGGGCGAAAGCCUGACGCAGCGACGCCGCGUGGGGGAAGAAGGCCUUCGGGUUGUAAACCUCUUUCAGCAGGGACGAAGCCACUCGGGUGAAUAGCCCAGACGGUGACGGGACCUGCAGAAGAAGCACCGGCCAACUCCGUGCCAGCAGCCGCGGUAAUACGGAGGGGGCUAGCGUUGUUCGGAAUUACUGGGCGUAAAGCGCGCGUAGGCGGCUUUGUAAGUUAGAGGUGAAAGCCCGGAGCUCAACUCCGGAACUGCCUUUAAGACUGCAUCGCUAGAAUUGUGGAGAGGUGAGUGGAAUUCCGAGUGUAGAGGUGAAAUUCGUAGAUAUUCGGAAGAACACCAGUGGCGAAGGCGACUCACUGGACACAUAUUGACGCUGAGGUGCGAAAGCGUGGGGAGCAAAC
Molecule: ribosomal RNA, 422 nt
Filed under: uncultured bacterium
Lineage: Bacteria
Description: bacterial SSU rRNA
Rfam family: Bacterial small subunit ribosomal RNA
Source: RNAcentral